Long non-coding RNA from Octopus bimaculoides (California two-spot octopus), 1581 nucleotides. RefSeq lists it as uncharacterized. The record is from RefSeq and is a predicted model, not a curated record. Lineage: Eukaryota; Metazoa; Mollusca; Cephalopoda; Octopoda; Octopodidae.
UCCGGUGGUGAAGUCCCCUGCGCAUGCGCAGAAUAGUACUUCCUCAAUGGCGGCUAUAAUUUCGCGCCACUACAAAGUAUUCCAGCGCAUCUCCCUUGCUAUCCUCCGGGGUAACGCCUUUUCCAUUUUGUCUGCUGGUGCCAUGAGAAAUGUUUCUAUAUUGUGAGUGACAAGAUUCUCCGUUAAUGCUUCUAUUUACACAUAAUCGCCUAUGUAUAUCCCUUUCUUUUCUUCAUUUUUUCCCAAAUAUUCUGAAUUUCAAUAGAUUAAAUUAAUUUCAGAAAAGGAAUUUAGAAACAAAGAGGGAAAGGAAAUCUUUUCCUUGUUAGUUGUCAAGCUGACAGCUAUGGACGUAUGUCGGUUUUAUUGUGUAUCUCUAGGAAGCAUAAUCAAGCUCGAGCAUGCAUGAUCGAUCGACAAUUUUUGUUGUUUUUCUGUCUUAAUAUCGAAAGAACUCUAAAUCUUUUGGCCAGUAAUAAAUGGUCAAUAAGAAAAAAAAUAUGAUCUAAGGGAAAUAACUUAGAUAAACGAAAAAGGUUAGUGUGCAAUGAGUUCUCACGUUUCUUUGAAAAAAAGAAAUGUUAUAUAUAUCGGCAUUAUCUGUAUUAUCUAUUGAAAGAAAAUACAAUCAAAUACCUAAAUUUACAUAAAUUCUAGCUCGUUUACGAGCUUAACUAUAGACUAAGUUAUAACGUAACUCAAAACUAAACAAGAACUUAAAUUUUGAUGACACCGUAUCAAAACAAAACUAACUCCGUCUUCUAAAGAGCUCCACGAAAUAUCACCUUGAAAAAUUAAUAAGAAAUCAACAUGGCAAGGCGGCCCUUAUCUCGGUUCACGAAAAUUAAUAUCGGAUGGGGUAUUCUUGUUGUGGUUGGCAUAACAAGUUUUGCCGUUGCCAGGACAUUGGUUCAAAACCAGCGCUAUGAAGUGAUGAAGAGUAAACAGAGAGUUCGAGAUGCCUGUAAACAAGAUGUUUUGGAUGCAGAGGCUAAAACAGUAUCCUAGCAUUUGCACAAUAUACACCAAGUGCAUCUAGUUUUCAUGAGUUGCUGGAGAACUAUUUAGAAUGAAGCCAGUAUCUCUUUCUGGAGUAAAUGGCUUAUUCAAGAAAGGUUUCUAACAAUCGUUUUAAUAGUGAGAAAAGUGCUAAGGGCCAAAUAAGUUUGGCCAAAUCUCUGAACUGACUUUCAAUUUCCAAUUGCUGUAAUGCAAUUGGAAAUGUGUAUGCAUCAUAAAACAUCAUUUUGAUGUCAAUAUAUGUAUGUAUGCAUGUACAUAUGUAUGUAACCUCUUACCCUUCAUAUGCACUCACAUGGAAUGUAAAAUGAAAACAUGGGUGUUUAAAGAAAUGAAAUUGUAGAAAAUUGAUUUAUGAGAAGUUUUUUUCACAGAUGUGUUAUUGUGAUAAUAAUUAAAUUAUUUCUGGCUUUCAGGCUCAUCUUUUCAUACAGUUAUGUUUAACUGUUUUCAGUACCCACUCGCCUGCCUAAAACUGCUUAUAUUAAAACAUUCAUAUCUUAAAUUCUCAAUCCAGAUUUCAUUAUUACAUGAGUAAAAUACAAAAUUUCAGCAGUUAAA